UACGAAGGGGACUAGCGUUGUUCGGAAUUACUGGGCGUAAAGCGCACGUAGGCGGAUUUGUUAGUCAGGGGUGAAAUCCCGGGGCUCAACCUCGGAACUGCCUUUGAUACUGCAAAUCUCGAGUCCGAUAGAGGUGGGUGGAAUUCCUAGUGUAGAGGUGAAAUUCGUAGAUAUUAGGAAGAACACCGGUGGCGAAGGCGGCCCACUGGAUCGGUACUGACGCUGAGGUGCGAAAGCGUGGGGAGCGAACAGG
RNAcentral lists this ribosomal RNA (253 nucleotides) under uncultured bacterium. RNAcentral's name for it is "partial 16S ribosomal RNA". It matches the Rfam family "Bacterial small subunit ribosomal RNA", at positions 524 to 776 of the family's 1533-position model. The record is from RNAcentral.